This 492-nucleotide ribosomal RNA is filed under the name uncultured bacterium. RNAcentral describes it as "partial 16S ribosomal RNA". It matches the Rfam family "Bacterial small subunit ribosomal RNA", at positions 30 to 507 of the family's 1533-position model. The record is from RNAcentral.
AUUGAACGCUGGCGGCAUGCUUUACACAUGCAAGUCGAACGGUAACAGGCCUUCGGGUGCUGACGAGUGGCGAACGGGUGAGUAAUGCAUCGGAACGUGCCCAGAGGUGGGGGAUAACGCAGCGAAAGCUGUGCUAAUACCGCAUGUGAUCUGAGGAUGAAAGCGGGGGACCAGGCAGCAAUGUUUGGCCUCGCGCCUUUGGAGCGGCCGAUGUCAGAUUAGGUAGUUGGUGGGGUAAAGGCCUACCAAGCCGACGAUCUGUAGCUGGUCUGAGAGGACGACCAGCCACACUGGGACUGAGACACGGCCCAGACUCCUACGGGAGGCAGCAGUGGGGAAUUUUGGACAAUGGGCGCAAGCCUGAUCCAGCAAUGCCGCGUGCGGGAAGAAGGCCUUCGGGUUGUAAACCGCUUUUGUACGGAACGAAAAGGAUCUGGCUAAUACCUGGGGCUGAUGACGGUACCGUAAGAAUAAGCACCGGCUAACUACGUG